Non-coding RNA from Triticum aestivum (bread wheat), 135 nucleotides. The record is from Rfam. NCBI's taxonomy places the organism in Eukaryota, Viridiplantae, Streptophyta, Magnoliopsida, Poales, Poaceae.
CAACUACUCCCUUUGUCCCAAAUUUCUUGUCUUAGAUUUGUCUAGAUACGGAUGUAUCUAAUACUAAAAUGUGACUUGCUACAUCUGUAUCUAGACAAAUCUAAGACAAGAAUUUUGGGACAGAGGGAUUACUUU